This 403-nucleotide ribosomal RNA is filed under the name bacterium. RNAcentral describes it as "partial 16S ribosomal RNA". It matches the Rfam family "Bacterial small subunit ribosomal RNA", at positions 355 to 776 of the family's 1533-position model. The record is from RNAcentral.
UGGGGAAUAUUGCACAAUGGGGGAAACCCUGAUGCAGCGACGCCGCGUGAACGAAGAAGGUAUUCGUAUCGUAAAGUUCUGUCCUAUGGGAAGAUAAUGACAGUACCAUAGAAGAAAGCUCCGGCUAAAUACGUGCCAGCAGCCGCGGUAAUACGUAUGGAGCGAGCGUUGUCCGGAAUUAUUGGGCGUAAAGGGUACGCACGCGGUUUAAUAAGUCGAAUGGUAAAGAGCGGGGCUCAACCCCGCAAAGCAUUGGAAACUGAUAAACUUGAGUAGUGGAGAGGAAAGUGGAAUUCCUAGUGUAGUGGUGAAAUACGUAGAUAUUAGGAGGAGUACCAGUAGCGAAGGCGACGUUCUGGACACAAACUGACGCUGAGGUACGAAAGCGUGGGGAGCAAACAGG